AUAACCAUCUCAGUCCAAAGUGCAAGACAGACCGCAGUGAAAAGAGAAAGCAACAGCUAAAAGAUGAGUAAAGAAACGAGCAAAAGGUUAAUUUAGACAUCAAGCUUCUAGGUCUUAUUUGGGCGUAGUUAUUCAUAGGAUAAAGUGGAGAGCUGCCAAUUCAUUGGUGAUGGUCUGUGUCCAGGGGAUUGUCUCAUUGUCUGCUUCACUUUGUCGGUUCUAAUCUGUCCUCUGCACAUGCGAUGGAGACGUGCCGUGGAGUGGAGGGAGGGAAGAGGCCUCACUUGCAGUUAGUUCCUUCCUUCUUUCAUGGAAGAACAAAGCUCUUUCAUCCUCGAAUCUUCUAUCUGAACAAAAGUUGCGAGAAUUAUUUUAUCCCUAAAAAAUUUCCUUGAAUAAUUUCCACCUACUGCAUGAAACAAUGGUCCCUUUUCACUUCUAAAAGGACUAAAAGACUAAAAAGUACAUCUUUUUUUUAUUUAUUUUUAUUUUUUUAUGGGCACCAAAGUAAAGCAUAUGUGCUCUAUUUGGAGAAUGCAGAUGCCUCAAGCUGUGGCAUUUCUUUCUCCAGCUCUCAGCAAGUGGCCAUUUAGGCUUAAUUGCUCCUCACAGCACAGUCCAAUUAAGAACGGGCAUCAGCAGGAAAGCUACAAAAGUUGUACUGCCUUUCGAAUUCGAGCCCAUUUCCUCAGGACAGAUAAAAAUCAUGGUGAAUUAAACAUCUACCACCUGGAAAUACUCCAGAUUCUUGAUGCUCUGACUUUCCCCCUAUUGCCUGUCAAUUGCUCAUCAGGAUUAGAGACCAACUGCUCUAGAAGCCACCAACUCUAUCUGUAG
This 837-nucleotide long non-coding RNA is filed under the name Vulpes vulpes (red fox). RNAcentral describes it as "lncRNA (ENSVVUG00000000825.1)". Lineage: Eukaryota; Metazoa; Chordata; Mammalia; Carnivora; Canidae. The record is from RNAcentral.